RNAcentral lists this ribosomal RNA (441 nucleotides) under uncultured bacterium. Its description in RNAcentral is "bacterial SSU rRNA". It matches the Rfam family "Bacterial small subunit ribosomal RNA", at positions 339 to 797 of the family's 1533-position model. The record is from RNAcentral.
UUACGGGAGGCAGCAGUGGGGAAUCUUGCACAAUGGGGGAAACCCUGAUGCAGCGACGCCGCGUGAGCGAUGAAGCCCUUCGGGGUGUAAAGCUCUUUCGGCAGGGACGAUAAUGACGGUACCUGCAGAAGCAGCUGCGGCUAACUACGUGCCAGCAGCCGCGGUAAUACGUAGGCAGCGAGCGUUGUUCGGAGUUACUGGGCGUAAAGGGUGUGUAGGCGGUCCUUUAAGUUUGGUGUGAAAUCUCCCGGCUUAACUGGGAGGGUGCGCCGAAUACUGAGGGGCUAGAGUGCGGGAGAGGAUAGUGGAAUUCCUGGUGUAGCGGUGAAAUGCGUAGAUAUCAGGAGGAACACCGGUGGUGUAGACGGCUAUCUGGACCGUGACUGACGCUGAGACACGAAAGCGUGGGUAGCAAACAGGAUUAGAUACCCCGGUAGUCCG